UGGGGAAUAUUGCACAAUGGGCGCAAGCCUGAUGCAGCCAUGCCACGUGUGUGAAGAAGGCCUUCGGGUUGUAAAGCAACUUUCAGCGAGGAGGAAGGUGGUGAACUUAAUACGUUCAUCAAUUGACGUUACUCGCAGAAGAAGCACCGGCUAACUCCGUGCCAGCAGCCGCGGUAAUACGGAGGGUGCAAGCGUUAAUCGGAAUUACUGGGCGUAAAGCGCACGCAGGCGGUUUGUUAAGUCAGAUGUGAAAUCCCCGGGCUCAACCUGGGAACUGCAUUUGAAAACUGGCAAGCUAGAGUCUCGUAGAGGGGGGUAGAAUUCCAGGUGUAGCGGUGAAAUGCGUAGAGAUCUGGAGGAAUACCGGUGGCGAAGGCGGCCCCCUGGACGAAGACUGACGCUCAGGUGCGAAAAGCGUGGGGAGCAAAACAGGAUUAGAUACCCCUGGUAGUCCACGCUGUAAAACGAUGUCGAUUUUGGAGGUUGUGCCCUUGAGGCGUGGCUUCCGGAGCUAACG
Molecule: ribosomal RNA, 517 nt
Filed under: uncultured bacterium
Lineage: Bacteria
Description: partial 16S ribosomal RNA
Rfam family: Bacterial small subunit ribosomal RNA
Source: RNAcentral